UUUCUACAGAGCCCGCGCAGUUUGAAACCAGCCUCCAGGAAGAGUCCGUGGUCAGUGGAGCAGGAGAACUUUACCUCGGCAUCCAAUCAUGCAUAAAAGUCCGCGUUAUUGCAGCCGUUCUGGAUCUAAAGAGAGCCUUUUUGUUAUCGGUGUCAGCAGCAGGACUGGACGUAGAUGGAGGAUUUGUUUGACUGAGUUUUCCAGGAGUUGGAGCCAAGGCCGAAGCUGUAAUUCUGACCUCUUACUGACCAGCUGACUGCCCCAUGGCACCUCACCAUAAAACAGCUGGAGCUGCAGUUAAAUGCAACAUUUGACAUCUGUUUUGCUGUAGAGAAACGGUGCCCCAUGAACCACUGCACAGACGAGUAUAAUUAAGAGUUUCAGUGAAUCCUCCUUCCUCAACCUGUAUCCUUGACAAAUGCAUCAUCAUGUGGCUGCUGUAUUUAUCAUGUCAUGUGAUCUGAACAUGGUGAAAAAAACAUUGUGAAAAAAAACUAAACAAUAACAACAUGAAGCUCAUGAUGCAGUACUAUCAUGGAUGGAUUAUUGGGAAAACUCAAUGUUUUUGUUUUGCUACAUGUAAAAUAGUGCAGCCCAUAUUUAUCUCUGACAGAAGGACAGGUCCAAAUUAUACAAAAUCCUCGGGCUCAGGGUCAGUCUGGCCUUCAAAAAGUUUCAUAUUCAUCCAGCCUGUGCGGUCAUAAUUCACACUACUGCUCCUUUCACAUGUUUGUUCUUGGCUGUGAUUCCAUUGGAUGCGUCAGGGCCAGAAGCAGAAAGUUGUGCAAUAUGAAGUCAAUAAUCAAGGGGUCUUGUGACAUACUCAGUUUCAGUUUAUCACAAAACUGACUAAACUGUUCCUAAAGCAGUUUUUCCUCUCAGAAAAUAUGAUUGAGAAUACAGCUACCUGAUCUGUGUUUGAUGCUGCUGAUUUAUCCAAAUGUUUCCUUGUGUCUUUGCACAAUGAUUUGUUGUGAUAACCUCUUAAUGCAGGCUUUUUGGAACAGCGAACUUGAGCUUUGAUUGUGUAAGAGGAACAAGGAUGCAUAAUAGAAAAAUGUUACAUAAAAAUGAUGAAAAACUUUUUAAAAUGUCAUUUAUAGCCCACCAUUGCAUGUCUGCAUAAGCAGCUGUGGAGCCAGAAAGAGACCAUUCUUUGUAAACCCUGCCCUCUUGUGGAAAACCUGUACUCUGCAGCUAGAGGAGGUGAUAAUCACAAAAUCAUAAUCAAGCUACAGUACAUGCUACAUUACUACUAAUCUUGCUUGAUAAAAUUGGUGCUACAGAUCAGACCAGCCACUGUGUGACUGUAACCAAAUCGGUACAAGUGAAACUGUUCAGAAUAACUCUCCUGAGCCUUUUACUUUUCUUAUUCUUGUAUCUGCAAUGCUAAGGUUCUGGGAAAAACAGUUGCAGGGGAGACCAGGGAGGGGAAAAAUGCCUUUUAACACCCAGGUCUGUAUAUGAGAAAGUCAAACGCUGGCUCUAUGAUCACGCUGUCAGCCAGUCUGCCUCAAACAGUCAGUGUGUGAUCCGGUCACGGGUGACGGAGCACAAUGAGGUCUAAUGGUGCAAUGAUGGGACAUCAAGGGAGAGGCCGGGACUCUGCUUGUGGGAAUAAAAGGUCAGGACACUGCAUGUUUACGCAGGAGAUAUAAAGUCAUUAUUGCUUUACAGUCCAGGUUACAGGAACACCUGAUGAAUGAGCAACCCGGAUGAUGAGAAGGCACUUUUAAUGACGGCAGUUUUCCUGAAACUGUGGGACACAUAGUUCUGGGCAGCAAGUAUUUCCCGACUAUGCCCUUCAUUUCUGACUGAUGAAAAUAAUCCCUGGUCUGCAGAUUUCAAAUGGCACAUUGUAUCAUUAAUAUUUGGUAAUAUAUAUUUCAUUCUAGAAGAUUCUGUUUGUUCACGUUUUGUGCAUUUUCUACAUUUUUGUAAACCUUUUUCCUGAGAAUCUGGAAUUCCCAGAAUGCAGGAUAAAAAAAAAAAAAAAUAGAUGAUCAAUUACUUGUUGACUGUGCUUUUAAUGGAGUACAAAUGUAUAUUUAUAUAGUCCCUUAAAAGAAUAUUUAAUCCUCUUUGCUUAAACACAAAUGGGAGAGUUUGGAUGCACCUGUUUGGCAGUAAAAUAAUAAAUAUUGGAUUAUCUUUUGAAGGAAUAAUGCUCAUACUUUUCCUUGUAGAAGCUACAGUAAAGAGUAUGGAAGCUUUUCUGUCCUGUGGUGGUUUAUUAGAUAGAUAUUCCAGGUAUUCCAGUGUCACAGCAGUUUCAGGGCAGACAUAACACCACACAUUUCCUUAAAAACUUCCAUACAUAAUAAGUUAAAAAGAAACAAUGAAUAAAUACUAAAAACAUUUUUAAAAAGUUUAAAUAUCUUCUAUGAUUUUUCACUUGACUGUUAAAAUCCUUUAUCCAUUAAUGUUUUGAUUAAAAAUAUUGUAAUUAACCAAAACUAAAGCUCCAAAAUAAUUUAUCUCAGUAUUUUGAACCACAGAGAUCAAACUAAACCUUUUGAGAUGUAAAGUUUUUAUGACCGUUUGCCUUGAAACUGGAAUCCUCUGUCUGCCAUCCAUCCACGACCUGGACUUUAAAGCUUGGUGUGAUGUCUGGUCUGUUGUGGGAAUUGUGACACCUUCUUUGCAUUAAAACACAG
Molecule: long non-coding RNA, 2657 nt
Organism: Amphiprion ocellaris (clown anemonefish)
Lineage: Eukaryota; Metazoa; Chordata; Actinopteri; Pomacentridae
Source: Ensembl